Molecule: ribosomal RNA, 754 nt
Filed under: uncultured Pacispora
Lineage: Eukaryota; Fungi; Glomeromycota; Glomeromycetes; Diversisporales; Pacisporaceae
Description: SSU rRNA
Rfam family: Eukaryotic small subunit ribosomal RNA
Source: RNAcentral
GCCUACCAUGGUUUUAACGGGUAACGGGGAAUUAGGGUUCGAUUCCGGAGAGGGAGCCUGAGAAACGACUACCACAUCCAAGGAAGGCAGCAGGCGCGCAAAUUACCCAAUCCCGAUACGGGGAGGUAGUGACAAUAAAUAACAAUACAGGGCUCUUAUGGGUCUUGUAAUUGGAAUGAGUACAAUUUAAAUCUCUUAACGAGGAACAAUUGGAGGGCAAGUCUGGUGCCAGCAGCCGCGGUAAUUCCAGCUCCAAUAGCGUAUAUUAAAGUUGUUGCAGUUAAAAAGCUCGUAGUUGAAUUUCGAAAUUUUUUUAUCGGUUGAAUCAACAGGUUCGUACUGAUUUUAAGAAUUUCUACCUUCUGGAGAACCUUAAUGUCAUUUAUUUGGUGUUUUGGGAAACCAGGACUGUUACCUUGAAAAAAUUAGAGUGUUUAAAGCAGGCUUAUGUCUGAAUAUAUUAGCAUGGAAUAAUGAAAUAGGACGGCAUGGUUCUAUUUUGUUGGUUUCUAGGAUCACCGUAAUGAUUAAUAGGGAUAGUUGGGGGCAUUAGUAUUCAAUUGUCAGAGGUGAAAUUCUUGGAUUUAUUGAAGACUAACUUCUGCGAAAGCAUUUGCCAAGGAUGUUUUCAUUAAUCAAGAACGAAAGUUAGGGGAUCGAAGACGAUCAGAUACCGUCGUAGUCUUAACCAUAAACUAUGCCGACUAGGAAUCGGACGAAGUUAAUUUUUUAAUGACUCGUUCGGCGCCUUACG